AUUGACCGCUGGCGGAAUGCUUUACACAUGCAAGUCGAACGAUGAGACCUAGCUUGCUAGGUUGAUUAGUGGCGAACGGGUGAGUAAUGUAUCGGAACGUAUCCAAUAAUGGGGGAUAACUAACCGAAAGGUUAGCUAAUACCGCAUACGCCCUACGGGGGAAAGCAGGGGAUCUUCGGACCUUGCGUUAAUGGAGCGGCCGAUAUCUGAUUAGCUAGUUGGUGAGGUAAAGGCUCACCAAGGCGACGAUCAGUAGCUGGUCUGAGAGGACGACCAGCCACACUGGAACUGAGACACGGUCCAGAAUCCUACGGGAGGCAGCAGUGGGGAAUUUUGGACAAUGGGCGAAAGCCUGAUCCAGCCAUUCCGCGUGAGUGAAGAAGGCCUUCGGGUUGUAAAGCUCUUUCGCAAGGGAAGAAAACUUACUUUCUAAUAAAGAGUGAGGUUGACGGUACCUUGAUAAGGAGCACCGGCUAACUACGUGCCAGCCGCCGCGGUAA
This 500-nucleotide ribosomal RNA is filed under the name uncultured bacterium. RNAcentral describes it as "partial 16S ribosomal RNA". It matches the Rfam family "Bacterial small subunit ribosomal RNA", at positions 30 to 523 of the family's 1533-position model. The record is from RNAcentral.